Molecule: long non-coding RNA, 941 nt
Organism: Paramacrobiotus metropolitanus
Lineage: Eukaryota; Metazoa; Tardigrada; Eutardigrada; Parachela; Macrobiotidae
Exons: 2
Source: RefSeq, a predicted model, not a curated record
UACUUUUUUGAGUGCUCUUUACGUUUCCUAUACUUAAGACCUGGUGAAACCAUCUUCUGACCACUGGUUAUUAAAAACAAACAAAAAUUUAUUGGCACACCUAUGGAAUUUUUUAAGACCAAGCUGGACUUAAACUGACCACGAGUUAUCGAGGAGUUUAAAACGGCGCAUAAAUACGCUUUGGUCGUUUUACAGACUACUCGCACUGCUUUCCACUUUGGCCACACGCCACGCUCGGUCCUCGGAUCCUCCAUACGUUAGCUCAGCGCGAUAAAGUCAAGUUGUCAAUAAUUACUAUAUUCAGUUCUUGCCACGGAAGGACCAACGGUCUCAGCGAAACGAAAAUGAUAUCCACUCACGGCCUUACUGCCAUAACCAUCAUGCUUGUGAGCCUGGUGUGGCCAGCCCCUGUGCUAUCACUGACGUGUGCCUCCUGCAGUGCAUCGAAGGGCGACACUGGCGACUGCAAAACUACAGUUACUUGUCCGUCUACAGCCAAGCCCGACUUUACAUCCUGUGGCAUGAACUAUGACGCAACCUCAAAAAAGUUCGCGUUUUCCGGGUGCGCGAAAUCGACUUUUGAUGGCAGCGGAUGCCUGUCGUCAUCCUGCGCUUGUAAGACCGAUUCGUGUAACGCAAAGGACACCCUUCCUGCGGAUUUUCCCAAAGCGUCAGGGCAAGUUAACGUGGUGUACGGAGCCGGGACCGCCGCGGGCGAGGAAAUUCGCGCACAGCACUAUUUAACUGGAUUGGGUAUCAUGCUGUCCGUGAUCCUCCUGCACCGUCAUUCAUAUUAGCGUGCGCCGAAAUUUGCGCUUCUUCGUGACUUUUCUGCCACAUUCGCACAAAACAAGCAACUGUGUUAUCGUAAACUUUUAAAUCUUUGUAAAAAAACAGCUCAUACUGUGCUUUAUGGCCUAUGAUAAAGUAUCUUAAUUUUA